GAUCAGGAGAGUUUGAUCCUGGCUCAGGGUGAACGCUGGCGACAUGCUUAACACAUGCAAGUUGAACGCUGAGAUGAUCUUUUGAAGAUUGUCGAAGAGUGGCGAACGGGUGAGUAACACGUAAGAACCAACCCUUUGGACAAGAAUAACUUUUGGAAACAAAAGCUAAAACUUGAUAAAAUAAUUCAAACAUCUUAUCGAUGCCAAAGGACGGGCUUGCGGCUGAUUAGCUAGUUGGUAAGAUAAUAGCUUACCAAGGCAACAAUCAGUAGCUGGUCUGAGAGGACGAUCAGCCACAUUGGGACUGAGACACGGCCCAGACCUCUACGGAGGGCAGCAGUGAGGAAUUUUCCGCAAUGGGCGAAAGCCUGACGGAGCAAUGUCGCGUGGGGGAUGAAGGCCUAUGGGUUGUAAACCCCUUUUGUCAAAGAAGAAAAAAAUGACGGUAUUUGGCGAAUAAGCAUUGGCUAAUUCCGUGCCAGCAGCCGCGGUAAUACGGGAAAUGCGAGCGUUAUCCGGAAUUAUUGGGCGUAAAGCGUCCGAAGGUGGUUUUUGAAGUCGACUGUGAAAGCUCAGAGCUCAACUUUGAAAAUGCAGUCUUAGAUACUCAAAAACUUGAGUUUGAUAGAGGUAGAGGGAAUUCUCGGUGGUAAUCGCCGGUCAGCCAUACGGCGGUGAAUACGUUCCCGGGCCUUGCACACACCGCCCGUCACUCAGGCAAAAUCGAGUACACCCAAAGUCAAUAACUGAACUCUUGAGAGAGAAAGAAUUGCCUAAGGUGAAUUUGGUAAUGCCUGAGAAGUCGUAACAAGGUAACCGUACUGGAAGGUGCGGUUGGAUAACCUCCUUAAAAAGUUUUUCAAAGAAGAGAAAAGCUAAUUAGACGAGCGCCUCUGGUGCUCGUCUAAUUAUCUAAUAGCCGCCUUUUUUCGAAGAAGCGCCUCUCUCUUUACUUUUCAUAAAACAAAGAUAGAAUAGAACCAUAUUCUUCAUUCGAACGACAGAAUAUAUGGAAAAUUUUUUGAACAAUUCUUCGUU
This 1038-nucleotide ribosomal RNA is filed under the name Pseudochlorodesmis sp. HV01306b. RNAcentral describes it as "SSU rRNA". The stretch from base 1 to 850 matches the Rfam family "Bacterial small subunit ribosomal RNA". Lineage: Eukaryota; Viridiplantae; Chlorophyta; Ulvophyceae; Bryopsidales; Bryopsidaceae. The record is from RNAcentral.